This 463-nucleotide ribosomal RNA is filed under the name Daphnia curvirostris. RNAcentral describes it as "partial 16S ribosomal RNA". It matches the Rfam family "Bacterial large subunit ribosomal RNA", at positions 1920 to 2600 of the family's 2925-position model. The record is from RNAcentral. Lineage: Eukaryota; Metazoa; Arthropoda; Branchiopoda; Diplostraca; Daphniidae.
UUUGUAAAUAGCCGCAGUAUCUUGACUGUGCUAAGGUAGCAUAAUCAUUAGUCUUUUAAUUGGAGGCUGGUAUGAACGGUGAGACGAGAAAAAAGCUGUCUCUGGGAUAAAGGUCUUGAAUUUUAUUUUUGAGUGAAAAAGCUUAAAUGAAUUUGGGGGACGAUCAGACCCUUUGGAGCUUUAUUUAUUUUUUACUUACGAUAUUUUUAAAUAUAAAAGGCAGGAAGUAAAUUUUGUUGGGGCGACAGGGAGUUAAAAAUAUCACUCUUUUUUAUAAACACUUCUCAGUGGAUAAUUGAUCCUUAGUGAAAGAUUAAAAGAUUAAGUUACCCUAGGGAUAACAGCGUAAUCUUUUUGGAGAGUUCAAAUCGAUAAAAAGGUUUGCGACCUCGAUGUUGGAUUAAGAAAUUAGCAAGGUGCAGAAGUUUUGCUGGAGAGUCUGUUCGACUUUUAAUUUCUUACA